CUGAACCAGCCAAGUAGCGUGAAGGAUGACUGCCCAACGGGUUUUAAACUUCUUUUAUAACGGAAUAAAGUUCUCUACGUGUAGAGUUUUGUAUGUACCUUAUGAAUAAGCAUCGGCUAACUCCGUGCCAGCAGCCGCGGUAAUACGGAGGAUGCGAGCGUUAUCCGGAUUUAUUGGGUUUAAAGGGAGCGUAGACGGGUCCUUAAGUCAGUUGUGAAAGUUUGCGG
RNAcentral lists this ribosomal RNA (227 nucleotides) under uncultured Bacteroidaceae bacterium. RNAcentral's name for it is "partial 16S ribosomal RNA". It matches the Rfam family "Bacterial small subunit ribosomal RNA", at positions 383 to 607 of the family's 1533-position model. Lineage: Bacteria; Pseudomonadati; Bacteroidota; Bacteroidia; Bacteroidales; Bacteroidaceae. The record is from RNAcentral.